UUAGCUACUAGACUUGAUUUGGAUAAACAUAACUAGCAUUAAAUUUCAACUAAAAGCCUACAGAUUGCUAUCAAAUGUAGGUUUUACAGAGAGGGGCUCAAUGGUCGAUGUCAUAUUGCUGCAUUUGCCAUUAGCAUAAUCCAAAGGCAUUUCUUGAAACCUUUUCCAUUUCUUCACUACAGGGGUUUUUCUAUGAUGAGAGGUGCCCAAUCUAAAGUCUGCAUCGAUUUGGCGCAUUUCUUGAAACCUUUUCCAUUUCUUCACUACAGGGGUUUUUCUACGGGGAGAGGUGCCCAAUCUAAAGCCUGCAUCGAUUCGGCUAUGCCCUCACAUUGCCAGGGAUUGUUUUUACAAUGAAGAUAAGGAACAUGGCAUUAAAGUGGUUGUUCCAGGAUUGUCUGACUGUGGUCAGUUGUGGUCUAAGGGGGCAGGGAGCUGCCUAUAGAGUUGUAGGAGAGCUGAGGAGAAGGAUGAGGCAAGA
Asparagus officinalis (garden asparagus) is the source of this 481-nucleotide long non-coding RNA. RefSeq lists it as uncharacterized. The transcript is spliced from 3 exons. The record is from RefSeq and is a predicted model, not a curated record. NCBI's taxonomy places the organism in Eukaryota, Viridiplantae, Streptophyta, Magnoliopsida, Asparagales, Asparagaceae.